CAUCCCUCACCCCGUAGUCUUUCAGUCUUUGGGUGAGAGAGGCAGACAAACAUGAACUACCAAUGGAGGGAGGCCUCAGCUCCUGGUGUAAACUGACUUCCAUCAGUAAACAUUAAGGAGCAUUUUGGCCUCAGUGGAAAUAAAGCAGAGUUACUGCCUUGAAUAAAUCUCUGGCUGGGUGUGGGGAGAGAAUUUAGGUUCCUGAAAUAAUCAGAAAACCAUCAAGAGGCCAAGAAUCAUCUCGCAGCAGAUGACAAAGUAAAGCAGGUCAUUGAAGCAUAGAGGGAACACACACAUGGAACACUUUAAGUUAAGCAAAAUGCGUAUCACGUGUCGUCAUCACAGCAGCCCUGUGAAGUGAACAGAGGAUUGGUCCUUCUUGUUACAAGUGAGAAACUGAGGCUUAGCCACACAGAACGACCCGGGGUGUUCAGUGCUUCCGUGGCAUCAUGUGGUUUCCAGGUGAUAAACAGAGGUGCUUAGGUCUUCCAGCCUCAGAUGGGAACCUCUUAUCUGUGUGCUGUUCCCCCUCCCCUCCCUGGAAUUCAACUAAGAGAAAUAGUCUGAUGACCGGGGAAGCCCCAUCUGAAAGAAAGGAAUCUCGAGAGCUGAUUUGAGUCAAGGGAAAAGAAAAGGCAAGACUCACCUCCAGCCCAGGUUCAGGCUCGUGACGAGUCUGGUGUCUGUGGAGUGUGAAGAAAGGUCAGUGGUUACUUGUUCUCACUCCCCUCUGCUGUAGCAGGGGCCCCAAUAACGCCUUGCCUGAAGGAAAAAAAAGAUCAGUCACUUGAAAAUGAGGCAUCUUUCAAACGUAAACUGCAUCCCACAGUAGGAAGUGCGUCUGUCAUGUCAGUCUACUGCACACACCCACACUGAUGAGUGCUGAGACCAGGUCCAUGAGCCUGCACUUACCUAUACGCGAUACACUCUUGAGUUGCUAAUUUACUCUGUUGCAGCCUUCUGUGUGUUUUUGUUUUAACGCUAGGUAGCCACAGUGUAGCACAAGCUUGUGACCAGACCCUGAAAACACUGAGCGAGCAGGUUGCUCUUGUCCCUCAUAGUGACGGGUGAGGCAGAGCAGAUGGUGAGGGGCCAGGCUGGCCACGUGAGCGGGGUGGAGCAGAAGUUCACUUCAGUCAUCCGGCCCUCUGAGCAUUUUGGAAGGUGGCUUUCCACCUGUCACUUGAGCAGACUUUGAUAAUGUAUAGAAGAAAUGGAGACUAUAAAUUUUGAAGCUUGGGUGGUGUGAGAGUUCUUUACCUAUUGCGUUUGCACUGGAAAGGUGUUUGAGAGGACCGCUAAUGCUGCCU
Dama dama (fallow deer) is the source of this 1310-nucleotide long non-coding RNA. RefSeq lists it as uncharacterized. Lineage: Eukaryota; Metazoa; Chordata; Mammalia; Artiodactyla; Cervidae. The record is from RefSeq and is a predicted model, not a curated record. The transcript is spliced from 3 exons.